GGGCGCGUAGCUCAGCUGGUCAGAGCACCUCGUUUACACCGAGGGGGUCCGCGGUUCGAAUCCGUGCGCGCCCACCA
Molecule: transfer RNA, 77 nt
Filed under: Myxococcales bacterium
Lineage: Bacteria; Pseudomonadati; Myxococcota; Myxococcia; Myxococcales
Also listed under: 1 other name
Description: tRNA-Val
Rfam family: tRNA
About the family: Transfer RNA (tRNA) molecules are approximately 80 nucleotides in length.
Source: RNAcentral